UACGUAGGGUGCAAGCGUUGUUCGGAAUCAUUGGGCGUAAAGCGCGUGUAGGUGGCUAAUUAAGUCGGGUGUGAAAUCCCUGGGCUCAACCGAGGAAGUGCAUCCGAAACUAAUUAGCUGGAGAGUGGUAGAGGAAGGUGGAAUUCCGUGUGUAGAGGUGAAAUUCGUAGAUAUACGGAGGAAUACCGGUGGCGAAGGCGGCCUUCUGGACCAUUUCUGACACUGAGACGCGAAAGCGUGGGGAGCAAACAGGAUUAGAUACCCGGGUAGU
This 271-nucleotide ribosomal RNA is filed under the name uncultured bacterium. RNAcentral describes it as "partial 16S ribosomal RNA". It matches the Rfam family "Bacterial small subunit ribosomal RNA", at positions 524 to 794 of the family's 1533-position model. The record is from RNAcentral.